AUAGCUCAAAUUUGAAAGCUGGCCUCUGGUCCGCAUUGUAAUUUGUAGAGGAUGCUUUUAGGCAGCCGCCGGUCUAAGUUCCUUGGAACAGGACGUCAUAGAGGGUGAGAAUCCCGUAUGUGACCGGCUCAGGCACCUUCUGUAAAGCUCCUUCGACGAGUCGAGUUGUUUGGGAAUGCAGCUCUAAAUGGGAGGUAAAUUUCUUCUAAAGCUAAAUACUGGCGAGAGACCGAUAGCGCACAAGUAGAGUGAUCGAAAGAUGAAAAGCACUUUGGAAAGAGAGUUAAAAAGCACGUGAAAUUGUUGAA
RNAcentral lists this ribosomal RNA (308 nucleotides) under Rhizosphaera macrospora. RNAcentral's name for it is "partial large subunit ribosomal RNA". It matches the Rfam family "Eukaryotic large subunit ribosomal RNA", at positions 104 to 412 of the family's 3401-position model. Lineage: Eukaryota; Fungi; Ascomycota; Dothideomycetes; Dothideales; Dothideaceae. The record is from RNAcentral.